UUUGACCUCGAAUCAGGUAGGGAUACCCGCUGAACUUAAGC
This 41-nucleotide ribosomal RNA is filed under the name Dictyosporium alatum. RNAcentral describes it as "partial 28S ribosomal RNA". The record is from RNAcentral. RNAcentral also lists the same sequence under 9 other names. Lineage: Eukaryota; Fungi; Ascomycota; Dothideomycetes; Pleosporales; Dictyosporiaceae.